GACGAUGCGUAGCCGACCUGAGAGGGUGAUCGGCCACACUGGGACUGAGACACGGCCCAGACUCCUACGGGAGGCAGCAGUAGGGAAUCUUCCGCAAUGGACGAAAGUCUGACGGAGCAACGCCGCGUGAGUGAUGAAGGCUUUCGGGUCGUAAAACUCUGUUGUUAGGGAAGAACAAGUGCUAGUUGAAUAAGCUGGCACCUUGACGGUACCUAACCAGAAAGCCACGGCUAACUACGUGCCAGCAGCCGCGGUAAUACGUAGGUGGCAAGCGUUAUCCGGAAUUAUUGGGCGUAAAGCGCGCGCAGGUGGUUUCUUAAGUCUGAUGUGAAAGCCCACGGCUCAACCGUGGAGGGUCAUUGGAAACUGGGAGACUUGAGUGAAGAGGAAAGUGGAAUUCCAUGUGUUGUAGCGGUGAAAUGCGUAGAGAUAUGGAGGAACACCAGUGGCGAAGGCGACUUGGUCUGUAACUGACACUGAGGCGCGAA
Molecule: ribosomal RNA, 488 nt
Filed under: Bacillus mycoides
Lineage: Bacteria; Bacillati; Bacillota; Bacilli; Caryophanales; Bacillaceae
Description: bacterial SSU rRNA
Rfam family: Bacterial small subunit ribosomal RNA
Source: RNAcentral